This 118-nucleotide ribosomal RNA is filed under the name Pteropus alecto (black flying fox). Lineage: Eukaryota; Metazoa; Chordata; Mammalia; Chiroptera; Pteropodidae. The record is from RNAcentral.
UUUUCAGGCCAUGCCACCCUGAACGUGCCCGAUCUCGUCUGAUCUCGGAAGCUAAGCAGGGUCGGGACUGGUUAGUACUUGGAUGGGAGACCACCUAGGAAGACCCGGUGCUGUAGGU